CUUGUUUCCUCAGGGUCCUUCAUCACAGAAGAAUCCCAGUCAGUCCUCAGCCCAGAGGGGAGGGCCUUUAAAGAAGAUUUCCCUUUCUGCUUUCUGGAUGUAAAUCUUGCUGAAGAGAUAGCACCACACAUCAGAGGACAGGCACAGUGGAUGCAUAACUUUAAAUUGUCAGUGUGCUCCAUGGGAUCUCUCUGCAUAAACUGAAUCUUUAUUGACCAACAUGACCCUGAGAAAAUGAUUAGAAGGAUUCAAGAGGCAUAGUACAGGAAAUAUGAAGAAUUCAGUAAUAUUUGGCCUCAAGUUAUGAGACUGAGUCAGAACUAUAGCCUGGUGAGUGAUUUUUCCUCACAGUUGUUUUAUUACUACAGAGUCUAAUUGCUACCCGAAAUAGAGCACACA
This 399-nucleotide long non-coding RNA is filed under the name Fukomys damarensis (Damara mole-rat). RNAcentral describes it as "lncRNA (ENSFDAG00000023075.1)". The record is from RNAcentral. Lineage: Eukaryota; Metazoa; Chordata; Mammalia; Rodentia; Bathyergidae.